RNAcentral lists this transfer RNA (72 nucleotides) under Talaromyces pinophilus. RNAcentral describes it as "tRNA-Arg (TCG) (tRNA-Arg-TCG-1-1)". It matches the Rfam family "tRNA". From Rfam's summary of the family: Transfer RNA (tRNA) molecules are approximately 80 nucleotides in length. Their secondary structure includes four short double-helical elements and three loops (D, anti-codon, and T loops). Further hydrogen bonds mediate the characteristic L-shaped molecular structure. tRNAs have two regions of fundamental functional importance: the anti-codon, which is responsible for specific mRNA codon recognition, and the 3' end, to which the tRNAs corresponding amino acid is attached (by aminoacyl-tRNA synthetases). tRNAs cope with the degeneracy of the genetic code in two manners: having more than one tRNA (with a specific anti-codon) for a particular amino acid; and 'wobble' base-pairing, i.e. permitting non-standard base-pairing at the 3rd anti-codon position. The record is from RNAcentral. Lineage: Eukaryota; Fungi; Ascomycota; Eurotiomycetes; Eurotiales; Trichocomaceae.
GGCCUGCUGGCCCAAUGGCAAGGCGUCCGCCUUCGAAGCGGAAGAUUGCAGGUUCGACCCCUGCGUAGGUCA